Molecule: ribosomal RNA, 301 nt
Filed under: uncultured bacterium
Lineage: Bacteria
Description: partial 16S ribosomal RNA
Rfam family: Bacterial small subunit ribosomal RNA
Source: RNAcentral
CAGUAGCCGCGGUAAUACGUAGGGUGCGAGCGUUAAUCGGAUUUACUGGGCGUAAAGCGUGCGCAGGCGGCCCGUUAAGACAGGUGUGAAAUCCCUGGGCUCAACCUAGGAACUGCGCUUGUGACUGGCGGGCUCGAGUACGGUAGAGGGGGGUGGAAUUCCUGGUGUAGCAGUGAAAUGCGUAGAGAUCAGGGGGAACACCGAUGACGAAGGCAGCCCCCUGGGCCUGUACUGACGCUCAUGCACGAAAGCGUGGGGAGCAAACAGGAUUAGAUACCCCCGUAGUCCCUGUCUCUUAUAU